This 513-nucleotide ribosomal RNA is filed under the name uncultured bacterium. RNAcentral's name for it is "partial 16S ribosomal RNA". It matches the Rfam family "Bacterial small subunit ribosomal RNA", at positions 28 to 507 of the family's 1533-position model. The record is from RNAcentral.
GACGAACGCUGGCGGCGUGCUUAACACAUGCAAGUCGAACGAAAAGAGGGAAAGAGCUUGCUCUUUCCGGAAUUGAGUGGCAAACGGGUGAGUAACACGUAAACAACCUGCCUUCAGGAUGGGGACAACAGACGGAAACGACUGCUAAUACCGAAUAAGUUCCAAGGGCCGCAUGGCCCAUGGAAGAAAAGGUGGCCUCUACCUGUAAGCUAUCGCCUGAAGAGGGGUUUGCGUCUGAUUAGCUGGUUGGAGGGGUAACGGCCCACCAAGGCGACGAUCAGUAGCCGGUCUGAGAGGAUGAACGGCCACACUGGAAUUGAGACACGGUCCAGACUCCUACGGGAGGCAGCAGUGGGGAAGCUUCCGCAAUGGGCGAAAGCCUGACGGAGCAACGCCGCGUGAGUGAUGACGGCCUUCGGGUUGUAAAACUCUGUGAUCCGGGACGAAAAGGCAGAGUGCGAAGAACAAACUGCAUUGACGGUACCGGAAAAGCAAGCCACGGCUAACUACGUG